RNAcentral lists this ribosomal RNA (111 nucleotides) under uncultured bacterium. Its description in RNAcentral is "partial 16S ribosomal RNA". It matches the Rfam family "Bacterial small subunit ribosomal RNA", at positions 382 to 507 of the family's 1533-position model. The record is from RNAcentral.
UCUGAUCCAGCAAUUCUGUGUGUUUGAUGAAGGCCUUCGGGUUGUAAAGGACUUUCAAUGGGGAAGAAGCAAGUGACGGUACCCAUAGAAGAAGCGACGGCUAAAUACGUG